RNAcentral lists this ribosomal RNA (253 nucleotides) under uncultured bacterium. Its description in RNAcentral is "partial 16S ribosomal RNA". It matches the Rfam family "Bacterial small subunit ribosomal RNA", at positions 524 to 776 of the family's 1533-position model. The record is from RNAcentral.
UACGUAGGGAGCAAGCGUUGCUCGGAAUCACUGGGCGUAAAGCGCACGUAGGCGGCUUUUUAAGUCAGGGGUGAAAUCCUGGAGCUCAACUCCAGAACUGCCUUUGAUACUGGCGACCUUGAGUUCGGGAGAGGUGAGUGGAACUGCGAGUGUAGAGGUGAAAUUCGUAGAUAUUCGCAAGAACACCAGUGGCGAAGGCGGCUCACUGGCCCGAUACUGACGCUGAGGUGCGAAAGCGUGGGGAGCAAACAGG